This 476-nucleotide ribosomal RNA is filed under the name uncultured Treponema sp. Its description in RNAcentral is "bacterial SSU rRNA". It matches the Rfam family "Bacterial small subunit ribosomal RNA", at positions 29 to 491 of the family's 1533-position model. Lineage: Bacteria; Pseudomonadati; Spirochaetota; Spirochaetia; Treponematales; Treponemataceae. The record is from RNAcentral.
AACGAACGCUGGCGGCGCGUCUUAAGCAUGCAAGUCGAAUGGCAAGGGAGUGCUUGCACUCCCCUAGAAUGGCGGACUGGUGAGUAACACGUGGGUGACAUACCCUUAGGACGGGGAUAGCUUCUAGAAAUAGAAGAUAAUACCGGAUACGACCACUACAGUUAGAGUGUAGUGAGGAAAGGGGCUACGGCCCCGCCUGAGGAAUGGCCCGCGGCCCAUUAGCUAGUUGGUGAGGUAAAGGCCCACCAAGGCGAUGAUGGGUAUCCGGCCUAAGAGGGUGAACGGACACAUUGGGACUGAGAUACGGCCCAGACUCCUACGGGAGGCAGCAGCUAAGAAUAUUCCGCAAUGGACGAAAGUCUGACGGAGCGACGCCGCGUGGAUGAUGAAGGCCGUGAGGUUGUAAAGUCCUUUUGGACCUGACGAAUAAGCGUGGGAGGGAAUGCCUGCGUGGUGACGGUAGGGUUUGAAUAAGC